This 462-nucleotide unclassified non-coding RNA is filed under the name Hevea brasiliensis (rubber tree). The record is from RNAcentral. Lineage: Eukaryota; Viridiplantae; Streptophyta; Magnoliopsida; Malpighiales; Euphorbiaceae.
CAAGAAGAGUGGUUCUGUUUUGGGUAGGGUCAGCGAGGAAAAUGAGUCGACUGAAAUUGAAGAAAUUACUGAAGUGCCAGCAAGAGCUAGACCACAAAGGGCAAACCGCGGGCAGACUAAGUAUGUGAUAAGUGACUCUGAGAGCGACGAGGCUAAUGAGAGUAGCGACCAGGACAAUGAUUCUGACUUUGAGAGCUACCACGACAAUGAUUCAGACUUUGAAUGAAGAUGAAGACUAAAUUGCUGCUUGCUUUUCUCUUGAUACAGUGUCACUUCAGAUCAGAAAUGGGAACCCCCUGAACUGAGCAGUGUUGGUCCUAAAGCAGCUUGAUGGUUUGAAACACGUAGUGUUUGUUAACUACUGUUGAAAUGUGUUUAGUUGCAUUGAUCAUUUGAAUUUGAUUUCUUUCCUGUAAAUGGAGCCUGAUUUCUCCAUGACCUAAUUUCAUAAUCCUAUUCAAC